This 250-nucleotide ribosomal RNA is filed under the name uncultured prokaryote. RNAcentral's name for it is "partial 16S ribosomal RNA". It matches the Rfam family "Bacterial small subunit ribosomal RNA", at positions 524 to 773 of the family's 1533-position model. The record is from RNAcentral.
UACGAAGGGUGCAAGCGUUGUUCGGAUUUACUGGGCGUAAAGCGUCCGUAGGUGGUUUGUUAAGUCAGGGGUGAAAUCCCAGGGCCCAACCCUGGAACUGCCUUUGAUACUGGCAAACUGGAGCGCGAUAGAGGAAGAUGGAAUAUCUGGUGUAGGGGUGAAAUCCGUAGAUAUCAGAUAGAACACCAAUGGCGAAGGCAGUCUUCUGGAUCGUCGCUGACACUGAGGGACGAAAGCGUGGGUAGCAAAC